CUGAGCGGGUGAGCGCACGCACGGGUUUCGUCCUCUGCCACCACCUGGCUCGAGGCUCCCUCAGGGGCGCCGGGGCUCCCAGUUGCUCCCUCUCCGAGUUGCCCUUGUGUCCGGCGGCCGCCCCUGACCCAGCGCUCCUCUCGGAAGGCAGCUGGGAAACCUGGGGACUUUAUGGAGCGCCGGCUGCGUGCCUCUCUCUGCGUGCCUCUCAGGAUGCAAGCAGUUGAUUUGACCAGAAAGGCAUAGUACCAGCAAAGAAAAAGCGUUUAGGUUUCACAGCGCGAGACCACCAGGAACAGUCCUUAGACGAGAAAUUGGUGAAGGGGAGGAGUUUAUGGCCAGGGCACUCGAGUACACAGGUGAAGAAACAAAGGCAACAAACACACAGGGAUACAGUGAGGAAGGAAGUUGGGAGGACACCCUGGAAGACAGAGAAAGCAAGUGAUCCAAUAUAAUCUCCUUAUAAACAUGCUGAUAAUUGGCCUCUUGGUAAAUAAACUGAUGAUAUUGACUAGACGGAGAGUCCUCACCUAUGGACUUUUAGCAAGAACGACCCUGAAUUAGGAUUGCCUAUGGAAUACUAAUUUAGAGUCUGGAUUUAUGAAGCAUGGCUCCCUGGAAGAUCUCAUUUAAGUCCUAUAAUGAUUUGGAUAUAAAAUGAAGAUGAUUCAUACCCUGAAGUCUUUCUGCUGUGAGGUAACUCACAGAUCUCUUUGGAGACCUCAUCAUUGCUCUGGUCCUACCUCUGCCACAAAUGGAUUCUGUAACCUUGGUUAGAACCCUUAACUUCUC
Long non-coding RNA from Myotis brandtii (Brandt's bat), 792 nucleotides. RefSeq lists it as uncharacterized. The transcript has 3 exons. Lineage: Eukaryota; Metazoa; Chordata; Mammalia; Chiroptera; Vespertilionidae. The record is from RefSeq and is a predicted model, not a curated record.